Molecule: long non-coding RNA, 6691 nt
Organism: Mercenaria mercenaria
Lineage: Eukaryota; Metazoa; Mollusca; Bivalvia; Venerida; Veneridae
Exons: 3
Source: RefSeq, a predicted model, not a curated record
GUCGUACAUGUUUAAAUGUCUAAAACAUUUUAAUAUUGGAGAAUCAAUUUUAAAAUGGGUCAAAUUGUUCUGUAAUGAUACAAAAAGCUGCAUUUCAAACGAAGGACAUAGGUCUGACAUUUUUUAUAUAAAAAGGGAGGUCGUCAAGAUUGCCCCCUGUCCCCUUAUCUUUUUAUUAUAUGCAUUGAAAUUCUUCCCAUAGCUGUUAUGAAAAAUAAGGACAUUAAAGGACAACAAAUUCAUAAAUUAAACUUGGAACCAAAAAUAACAGUAUUUAAGAAUACACUUCUUACAUGGAGUAAAUGGGCCAAGUUCCAAAACUGAUAUAUCCAUUGAUGGUUCUGGCAAACCCGUCUCUGAAUAUUAUACAGAAAAUAAAAAAAACUGCAAGUUUGAUCGAUUUUUGGAGUCAAAACCAUAUAAAAUAGCAAGAAAUAUAAUUAUUCCAGAAUAUGAAAAUGGAGGCUUAAAAAUGAUAGAUACAGAUGCAUUUUAACUGCCGUAAAAGCUAGUUGGAUAAAAAGAUGAGUAAAAAAAAAUGCAGAAUGGCAAGAAUUGUAUGGACAAGAACUCUAGAAACAUGGAGGUCUCGCCUUUUUCAAAUCCAAAAGUAAACAAAAACAUGUUCCUGAUCUGAAGUAAAUUUUCCUUGAAGAAAUUUUAAAAUAUUGUGCAAGGUUAAUUAUAAAGAAGAAAUUAAUUGUAUUUCAACACAAAUAUUAUGAUACAAUAGUCAUUUAUUAGAUAACAAAGGAAACAAAUUCUUCUAUAAACAGUGGCUAGAAAAACGCGUAGUAUAUUUAAAACAUAUUUUGACUACAGAUCAAAAGAAUUCUAUACGUUCAAUUUCUUGCAGUUUGUUUGGUGAUUAUUUUGAAUACUAUCAAAUGAUAAAAUAAUUAAAAAAGUAUUGGAAGAACAAACUUAUAUUAGAAGACUUAAACGAAGUAUAAGAGCCAGAUUUCCUUAUCGAAAAAAAUGUAUAUACAAAAGUAAAUAAAAUGUUGUAUAAUUUGGAACUUAAAAACAAACUUCAUUUGAAUAACUUAGCUAGGAAAUAAAUGAAUUGAAUAUACUAAUGAUAGAUCUACUGCUAUUCCGCCGAAAACUACUAUAUACUGUGCAGAAUUUUCUUUCCCUCUUUUGAAUGCAUCACGGUAAAAUGUUGCUUUUUAAAAUUUCGAGAUUUCUUUUUUUAAUUUAUACUAAAUUUGUUGUAGGUCGAUUGUGGAGUUAAACCUUUUAUUAUUUUCUUCUAGUUAUUCUUGGAAUAUAGACGUAAGCAGACAGAAGGGAUUAAUUCUGAAAGUCACUUUUAUUUGAUAUGUAUAUAAAAAAAAAAGUGAAAAUAAAACCAAUAAGGAUUAAUUAUUAUCUUGUUGAUUAAAAACUUGCCACAACUUGUUGGAUGGAUAUAGCAACGGUCAAUGGCGUUUACAAGCAGUAUCGUUUGAACGUUUUGCUUGGUAAUUUGUGUGAGCUAUAAUCUACUUCAUAGAUAAUUCAUUUUCAAAACGUUUGCAGAAAGACUCACACUUUCACUGUAUUAAAGAUAUACCACCAAUAAUCUGGAAGAAAGCACAACUUAUGUUUCUCUUACUUUCGAAUGCCUAAACCAAUUUAUGGAUAUUGCACAAGAACCGAUUGUACAUAUAAAACUGUUAAGAAUCAAACAACAAACUUGACAAAUAGUUUACGUUCGGCAAGUACCUUCUCUGGAAACUCAUUCAAUCAUUAUAUAAGAGAAGAAAUGCAAAGGGUUGAUAAAAUUUCAAAUACGCAGUUAUGUUCAUGCUAGAAUUAUAUUUUUUUAGAUAAAUUGAAUGAUUAUCCUUUCAGAUAAAUUGAAUGAUUCUUGAAGUGUUAUCCCGCAUAUCACGAAAGAUAAAGAUUCUAGCGACAUCAGUAAGUAACAAGAAGACGAAAGGCACUGGAGUGGCAACACAGGUCUUCUCUAACAUGACGAGAAAACGAAUGCUGACAGUGUCAGGUUUAGAAAUGAUGCACCGUCAAUUUUGUUCCACAUUUGUACUGAAACCUUGGUUGAAACACAAAAGUAGAUGACGGAUAUAUCUUUACAUGUAACAGUGACAGAAACAACCGCAUUUAAAGAUAGUCAUUAAAUAAAUAGAAGAACCCAAGCGGUAUCGUAUUGCAAUGAUUGUGUGCAUGAAUGGAACAUUACAAUACUGUCUCCUACUUCCAAAGGUGACAAAUAACAAUCACUACGGACAACAGCUUUCAUCAAUGGGUAUUGGAAAAGCUUAAAGCAAUAUUUGUAUGCCUUACAAUUCUCUGUUUUUGAUCAGAAUUGGAAAUUUCGCGAAGAAGUGGUUGUGUUUUUGAAAUUAAGUAUUUAGUGUUUAGAAUCUGAGUUAAUCCUUAAUACAAUUUGGGUAUUACAUAGGUGGAGUGAAGGAAUAUGAUUAUUUGUGAUAUUCAAAUCAGACCUCAAUUUUAGUAUAAUCUGGAAUAUACGUACAUAUAAUGGAGGAAUACGGUUAUUUAUAAGAACGUUUUAUAGUGAUUCAGAUUGGAUGGAUUUUGUUUUCAACAGUUUGGAUUACAUGUAUACAUAGAUAAAGUGAAUGAUUAUCAUUAUUUAAUGAUAUUCAAAUUGAAUUAAAUAAAUAACCAGUCUUGAAUACCUAGAUAUAGUGCAUGAAUAUUAUUAUUGGUGAGUAAGUUUCUUCUAAUUAUGUCUAUGUAUUCAAAUCGAAUAUAAUAUUCAAAACUUUUGAGACAGACACAUAUAAGAUGAAGUAAUAUUAUAUUAAUUGAUGAGUACAUCGUGUUCUAAUUUUUAGACAAAAAUACAAUGAAAAAACAUUUAAUAGACUGUAUUUUACAAUUUGAAAAAUAAUACUCAAUAAAUAUUUUGGGAAGACAAAAGUAACGUGUACGGUCAGUUGAAGGGCAGGUAAUUACAAAUUCCAACAGUCUUAUAAUCAAUAUAUGAGCUUGGAAAAAUUGUUUUUGAAGAAAUAAAAAAUUUCAUUUAAAGUAAUGGCGCAGCAAUAUGAAUUCAAUGUCCUUUUUAAGCUCUAAAAAUAGAAUCUUAAUUUCUCGUUCGCCUUCGCUAGACAAGUUUUUACAUGUACUCCUGUGAUGACAGUUUCUGCACUUUUCCUUUGAACGUAAAAUCCAUAGAGCACGCAUAUUCAUUAAAAAGAUAAAUGUAUCUAUGAAAUCCUACAGCAUAUUUUUUAUUAUGUCGCUAAACUGUCAAUCUUAUACAAACGCUAAUAUACUCUGGAGAAGUUACUGACAAUAUAAAAAGGAACACAUAAUCUUACUUAUCUGAAUUUAAUUCAGUGCAUUAAGAGUUGCUUCGUUCAAAUGAACGUUCAUCCAAGUUUCUUUGACAUGAAGAAAUGCACACUCCAUUUAACAUUGCGGGAAUAUAUAUCAGAGUAAUUGUAUUGAUGGCAACCACAUACUUAAAGUGUUACCAUUUGAAAAAAAAAAAUAAUCGACAAAAAUACAUGAAUAUUUUCGACAAUUCCCUUGAAAAAGAAUUAAACGAUUUACAUUACAAAAACCGUGUUUUAUAGAACGACAAUAAUCAAGUGCUAAUACAAAGUCGUUUUGCUCAUUUCUUACGCCUUCCGUACAUUUAUGGUCUGUUAGAGUUGUUUCCUUUACAGCUCAGUAAUGUUAGAGGACUAUCUCAAUCCGAAAAUUUAUUUUUGUAAAAGUAAAUUAACAUUUUUCUUCGCAUUGAUUAUUUUUAAUUUUUAGGGGUUUUAUUUGGAUAUUUUUUGCUAAACAAAUUAGCAAAAAUAAUUAAAUAGUAUUAAUGCAAUGGACAUAACAAGAGACCCGAAAUCCAAAAUUUCAGGUACAAGCGUACACCGAACAUAGAUAUUUUCUUAAAAUGUAAGUGCAAAAUCAUUGACUAAACGGAAUUUAAGCAAACCGGUCUUGAGCAAGUUUUGAAAGGAUGAAUAUAAUACUGCAAAUUAAUUUCUUUUAGUUUCUUGUUAAAAGCAAAAGGUAUUACUUAGUGAUAAUUUGUCAGGAGAUUUUGCAACUUUGCAUUACUUAUAAAAGCACUAAUGCGAAAUUAUUUCGUUUCAGAAAAUUAUUUAUCAUUGCUUCUAUGAAAACUCCUUGAAAAUACGAUAAGAGUUUUAUUUACCCACCUUUGCUUUCAAUUAAUUUGUAUUACAUAGACCUCAUUUAACUGUAAAAAAAUCAUAACAGCUCCCGUGUUUGUCUGAUAUUAAUACACGUCAUUUUAAGAAAUUAUAAUGACAGUUUUCGCUCACAUUGUGUUAUUCAGUUUUAAUGCAUCCAAAGGAAAUGAACAUACUCCUUACAAUUAUUGUUAGUAAUUGCCUAAUGUUAUUUGUUGAGAAUAUGUUAAAUAUUUGAAUAAUGCCCUGGUCCACGGGCUCAAUUCAAAGAAUUAAGGCCUGGUCUAGAAAAUGUUCAGACUCAUAUUGUUGCUACAUUAUGAUAUAACAUUAAAAUAUGUUGCUGUACAAACGCCAAAUAUGAAAAGUUUGAAAAGUCAUGGGGAAAUUUUAGACUCUUAUUGCAAGAAAAACAUGAUAUACAUACUAUAUGAGUUUGGUGUAAUUUUUUCUAAAGUUACAAUUUCUUUUCAUAAUCAUUCCGAAUGGUAGCAGAAAUACUGAAGCUUUUAAUUCUCACUCUUCACCACUCUACAAUGGGAUGCUCCACCAACAUUUUCAACAAUUCCUAUCUUUCUUUUUUUUGACACCUUACAGUAACAAUGAAAUCCUAGUAGUUUGCACUGAAACCUAUUAUAAGUUUUUCUGCAGCAGACUGGUCUGUGUAAAUAGCAUAAGUCUUGGUUGUUUCAUUGUUGUUGUUUUUUAUGAAAUUUGAUAAAUUUCUCGGAGAAAUACAUUUGUUUAUAUUCUUCAACAUGCAUUUAUGUAAAAAAUGGAAUCAGUAUAAUUAAUGAAAAUAUAUACAACAGAAGCGAAAAUAGUAAUUGGCUCUCCGACACCACUCUCCACAAUAACGAGAAUAAUAAAGCGGCAACGUCUGAUCUGGAAAUUAAAAAAAUAUAUAUUCGCGUGGAAUAAAUUAAUAAAUACGUUAUGAUGAAAACAAUAUAAAAGUUUAAUAUAUGUAGAAGCGUUUUUCUUAUUUCUUUAAUAAUCUUAGGAUUUGUUAUAAUAUGAGACAACAAAUAUCACUUUCAAUAUCAUGUCUUAAAUAACAAAACUGCCGAAGGUCUUACUCAAGUUUAUUUACAAAUAAGCAUGAGUCCCACUUUAUGUGGGCAGCAUCAGCAUAUACAUUUCUAUAAUACAUACAUUCAGUAAUAUAUCACAUGACAAAAAGGAAAACGGCUACAAAUUGUUAAUAUAUAGGGCUAUAUACAAUGACUGAUUUCUUAUAUAUAAACACAGUAAUACACUUUACAGUAAAAUAUCUUCUUUGCUCUAUGAAAAAUAAUUGUUUCUCUAAGAAAGAAUCCGUAUGUGUUUCUUCUUAUUAUUAUUGUUGUUGUGCGUAUCGUUAUUAUUAUUAUUUAAAUGUUUACUGUAUUAUAAAUAUGUUUUAUUAUAAAUAUGUAUUGAACUCCUAGCUGCCUAAAAAUGAAGAGACGAAAGCUUUAGACGAGCAAGAAAGUUAAAUACAAGAGAAUAGUCUGAAAUAACUUGACCAACUGUGAAAGCAGUCAAACUGUACAAUCGAAAGUCAGGCUAGACUGCUGAUGUAGUCAGUUACUUUCUACAUGUAUAUUUUUAAAAAGCGAUAAGUAAUAUAUACUUAACUGGUGAGAUAUAUAUAUAUGCGAAAUUAUUACUAAGUGGGAAUUGUUUAUUCAAGCGUGAUUAAGAAAUUAGUAAUAGGGACAGUAUACCACUUUUUGAAUAAUACAGGAUACUAACAGUAUACUUUUAUCAACUAAUAUACGAAAAUAAUAUAAAAGUUAAAUAUAUAGGUAGAAGCGUUUUUCUUAUUUCUUUAUUAAUCAUAGGAUUUAAUAUGAGAAAACAAAUAUCACUUUCAAUAUCAUGUCUUAAAUCACAAAACUGCAGAAGGUCUUACUCGAAAUUAUUACUAAAUGGGAAUUGUUUAUUCAAGCGUGAUUAAGAACUUAGUAAUAGGAACAGUAUACUUGUUUUAGAAUAAUACAGGAUAAUAACAGUAUACUUUUAUCAACUUAUAUACGAAAAUAGUAUACACGUAAAAAUAGUUAAAUUUGCUUGUUGAUGUAUCUAGGAAUUUGAAUUUACCUAAAACAUGUAACAGCCCCAACAUGUAAAAUUGGAAACAUGAAUCAGCUGAAAUGUAAAAUGCAUUACACGCAGAAGAAAAAAUAAAUGUACAUAAUAAUUACGCCAAGUAAGUUAAUGCAAUAGCCCUUGAAAAUAAAAUGAAUAUUGCAAUGUCUUCGUGUUACUACGAUGUCAAUGGAAACAAAACGUAUAUAAACUUCAACCUCAGCUUAGAAUUAUGAUAUUUUAUACUCGUCAUUGUUAAUUAUAUAACGAAGCCUUUCUUGUAUCAUUUUGUAUUUCGGAACAUCUAUACAGACAUUUUAGGCGAAAUAUUCUGUACAUAACUUUGACUUCAAACAGUAUUUUCAAGCGGUUUUUGUUUUGAAAAGAUGUUUGUUAGCUUGUCAUAAGUAUUCCCUCUCCAAUGUUAAAUUUACGUCAUAGGUACCACGGUCAGCCUACACCUUAACUUCCUAAAUAUA